This 230-nucleotide unclassified non-coding RNA is filed under the name plant metagenome. Its description in RNAcentral is "partial contains small subunit ribosomal RNA, internal transcribed spacer 1, and 5.8S ribosomal RNA". The record is from RNAcentral.
UCUCCGUAGGUGAACCUGCGGAGGGAUCAUUACAGAGUUCUCGCCCUCACGGGUAGAUCUCCCACCCACUGUUAUCGUUACCGUCGUUUCUUUGGCGGGCCGCCGGGUCCCCGGCCGCCGGCGCCUAGCUGCCGGCGCGCGCCCGCCAGAGGCCUUCAAACUCUGAAUGUUAGUGUCGUCUGAGUACUAUAUAAUAGUUAAAACUUUCAACAACGGAUCUCUUGGUUCUG